CCUACGGGCGGCAGCAGUGGGGAAUAUUGGGCAAUGGAGGCACCUCUUACCCAGCAAUGCCGCGUGAAUGAAGAAUGUCUUCGGAUUGUAAAGUUCUUUAAUUGGGGACGAAAAGAAUGACGGUACCAAAGGAAUAGACCCCGGCUAACUACGUGACAGCAGCCGCGGUAAUACGUAGGGGGCAAGCGUUGUCCGGAAUGACUGGGCGUAAAGGGUGUGUAGGCGGGGUAGCCAGUUAGAAGUGAAAUACCUAGAGCUUAACUCAGGUGCUGCUUCUAAAACUGCUAUACUUGAGUGCAGUAGAGGAAAGUGGAAUUCCUAGUGUAGCGGUGGAAUGCGUAGAUAUUAGGCGGAACACCAGUGGCGAAGGCGACUUUCUGGACUGUAACUGACGCUGAGGCACGAAAGUGUGGGGAGCAAACAGGAUUAGAUACCCGAGUAGUC
This 444-nucleotide ribosomal RNA is filed under the name uncultured bacterium. RNAcentral describes it as "partial 16S ribosomal RNA". It matches the Rfam family "Bacterial small subunit ribosomal RNA", at positions 338 to 795 of the family's 1533-position model. The record is from RNAcentral.